Molecule: ribosomal RNA, 256 nt
Filed under: uncultured bacterium
Lineage: Bacteria
Description: partial 16S ribosomal RNA
Rfam family: Bacterial small subunit ribosomal RNA
Source: RNAcentral
UACGUAGGGUGCGAGCGUUAAUCGGAAUUACUGGGCGUAAAGCGUGCGCAGGCGGUUCGUUGUGUCGGCGGUGAAAGCCCCGGGCUUAACCUGGGAAUGGCCGUUGAAACUGGCGAACUGGAGUGUGGCAGAGGGGGGUGGAAUUCCGCGUUGGUAGCAGAUGAAAUGCGUAGAGAUGCGGAGGAACACCGAUGGCGAAGGCAGCCCCCUGGGCUGACACUGACGCUCAGGCACGAAAGCUAGGGGAGCAAACGGG